Molecule: RNA transcript, 461 nt
Organism: Dendrobium catenatum
Lineage: Eukaryota; Viridiplantae; Streptophyta; Magnoliopsida; Asparagales; Orchidaceae
Exons: 3
Source: RefSeq, a predicted model, not a curated record
GACUGGGCUAGGAAAUUUAAGAAGAGAGACGACGAGAAAGAGAAGAAAACUAGAAAAGAGGAGGAUAAGGAGCGAAAAAAGGGGAGAAGAGAUAAGAAAUCUUGCGAGCAUUCGGAUAGCCGAGAGGGAAAAGAGGGGAAAACGAGAGAGAGGCACAAACACAGAAAUAAACGAGCAGAAAAGUAGCCAGACGAUAAGCCGCAAGCUUAGGAAUUUUUUCAAAUGAAGUGAGAACUGCAAUAUGGACCAGUCGGAGUCCGAUAGGGUUUUCUGCGAACUCAUAUCUUCUUCGCCGCCGCCGGUAAAAUUUUGAGUCUGGAGUGAAGUGAUUCCCGGCUAUCUAGAUUUUUUUUCUAUACAUUCAACUCCGGCGACAUUUCAUCGCCUGGCUUCCUUUUUCUGUUGUUUUUGUUUUUUGUUUUUCGAACUUAUUCAAUUGAAGAUACAUUAUUGUUAGUGAA